UAGAGGUUAAGUGCUUGUCUAAGAUCAU
RNAcentral lists this non-coding RNA (28 nucleotides) under Homo sapiens (human). The record is from RNAcentral. Lineage: Eukaryota; Metazoa; Chordata; Mammalia; Primates; Hominidae.